RNAcentral lists this long non-coding RNA (712 nucleotides) under Pan troglodytes (chimpanzee). RNAcentral's name for it is "long non-coding RNA NONPTRT002530". The record is from RNAcentral. Lineage: Eukaryota; Metazoa; Chordata; Mammalia; Primates; Hominidae.
AUUUUAUCUGCCACGACCCAGAAGAAUAAUGCUGUGUGCUCCCUCUUUGCCUGCUACUGAACAAUGACGUCUCUUGUUGUGAACCCCACUGGCAGAGCACGGACCAUGGAAGCAUCUUUUGGCAGCACCAGAGAACUGAGCAUCUCAAAGGUCAGGCAUUACAAGUAGAUGUCUCUCAUAGGAAACCUAAUCCAGGUAGAAUAUGAGACAAUCUUGGAGGGUUUUGAUUUUUGCUUGUUAAACAGGUCUCCAAGGAAAUUAUGACCUCAGAGAACAAAAAAGGAUCUAUAGCUUUCAUGAAGAAGGACGCAAGUAGGUGGUAGCCAUUUUGCCUGGGUGAGGUUCACAGUUGGCUCAGGAGACAUCUUCUGAUCAUUAACCACUAAGACCCUGUUAGAAAAAUUUAGUGCAAGAUACAGGGAGUGCAUGGGGCUGUUGACCAGACCUGUGUGAAACACCUGUUCAGGUUAAGUAGAUAUAGCAACCCCUGCAAGAGGGGACUGGGCAGGAGAACCUCAGGCCCCGGGAUAACUUGUUGUCAGCUCCUCAAGGAUCCAUGCUUCUUUUUCUAUCUGGCAGCAUGAGUUCUUCUGUUUCUUCUGCGUGGGUUGACCAUGGGCAUCAGGCAUCAGAGAUACAACUCUGGAUUUUGUCCAUCCAUUGCUGGGCACUCUGUCCAUCCUGGGCGCAGAAGUUAUACACACGUUUGCUG